This is an RNA transcript of Grammomys surdaster, 3583 nucleotides long. It is a transcript of the gene named thymocyte selection associated, with no coding region annotated. The transcript has 7 exons. The record is from RefSeq and is a predicted model, not a curated record. NCBI's taxonomy places the organism in Eukaryota, Metazoa, Chordata, Mammalia, Rodentia, Muridae.
GAAACUGUGAAGACCAGCUUCUGCAGACAAGAACCUCCCCACCUUUGGGCUGUUCUACCCUGAUUUGGCUCCCCUUUCACAUUCUGCCUGUCUGGGAAAUUAUGAGCAAAGAUAGCAACGGUAGACAAUUGACAUCUAGAAGCCACAAGGUUUUGUAAAGAUCAGGUCUGUACACCAUCCAAGGCACAGCAAUGGCUUUAUCUCUGGAAGAAUUUGUCCACUCCCUUGACCUAAGGACCCUUCCCAGGGUCCUAGAAAUCCAGUCAGGCAUCUAUUUUGAAGGGUCUGUUUAUGAGAUGUUUGGCAAUGAAUGCUGUUUGUCAACAGGAGAAGUGAUUAAAAUCACAGGUCUCAAAAUUAAGAAGAUAAUGGCUGAAAUUUGUGAGGGUGAUAUUGGAGAUUCUGAGUCUCUGAAACCGUUUGAGCUGCCCAUGAAUUUUCCAGGUCUCUUUAAGGUCAUGGCUGAUAAAACUCCAUACCUGACAAUGGAAGAAAUAACAAGAACCAUUAAUAUUGGACCCAGCAGACUAGGUCAUCCUUGCUUUUAUCACUUGAAGGAUAUAAAACUAGAGAAUCUCACUAUUAAGCAAGGUGAGCCAAUCCGGUUCAUCUCAGUUGAAGAGAUUAAUGGAGAAACACUGGUGAAUUGUGGUGUGGUCAGGAAUCACCAGAGCCAUUCAUUUACUUUGCCAUUGUCACAAGAAGGAGAAUUCUAUGAGUGUGAGGAUGAACAUAUCUAUACCCUAAAAGAAAUUGUCGAAUGGAAGAUUCCCAAGAACAGAACACGGACAGUGAAACUUACAGACUUCUCAAAUAAGUGGGACUCACCCAAUCCAUUCCCAGAAGACUUUUAUGGUACACUGAUUCUCAAGCCUGUUUAUGAAAUCCAAGGUGUGCUGAAAUUUCAAAAGGACAUAGUCCGGAUUCUCCCCAGUUUAGACGUUGAAGUCAAAGAUAUUACUGACUCUUACGAUGCUAACUGGUUCCUUCAGUUGCUGUCUACAGACGAUCUUUUUGAAAUGACCAGCAAAGAGUUUCCAGUAGUAGCUGAAGUCAUCGAAGUGUCUCAAGGGAACCAACUGUCCCAAAGUAUUUUACAGCCUGAGAAAACCAUUGUCAUCCACAAAAGGUACCAGACUUCGAGGAUCUUAGCUUCAGAAAUUCGCAGCAAUUUCCCUAAAAGACACUUCUUGAUCCCUACUAGCUACAAAGGCAAGUUCAAAAGAAGACCCCGGGAGUUCCCAACAGCCUAUGACCUGCAGAUAGUUAAGAGCAAGAAAGAAACUCUCCAUGUGGUAGCCACCAAAGCUUUCCAUACACUUCACAAGGAGCUGUCCUCUGUGUCUGUUGGAGAUCAGUUUCUAGUGCAUCAUUCAGAAAGCACAGAAGUUGUCUUUGAGGGAACAAGAAAAGUAAACAUUCUGACCUGUGAAAAAAUCCUCAAUAAGUCCCAUGAAGCAGCACGGCUUCCUCUGUAUAUGGAGGGAGGUUUCGUAGAAGUGAUUCAUGAUAAGAAACAGUACCAGAUUUCUGAGCUCUGCACACAGUUCUGCUGGCCCUUCAAUGUGAAGGUGGCGGUAAGAGAUCUCUCCAUUCAAGAUGACAUUUUGGCAGCUACCCCAGGACUGCAGUUGGAGGAGGACAUCACAGAUUCUUACCUACUUAUUAGUGACUUUGCAAAUCCUGGGGAAUGUUGGGAAAUUCCCAUGGGCCGCCUGAAUAUGACUGUUCGAUUAGUUAAUAGUAGUAGUUUGCCUGUGGAUGUAGGGCCACUUCAAGUUAGGAGUCUUGUAGAAGAGAUUACAGAAGAACAGUAUUACAUGAUGAGAAGGUAUGAAAGGUCUCUAUCACACCCCCCACCUCGCCCUCCCAAACAUCCCUCAGCUGAGGAAAUGAAGCUAACCUUGCUCAGCUUAGAAGAAGAGACAACAAUAAAUCUGCCUAAGUCUCCCAAGAAUCACCAUGUAGAGAGAGCCAAGAAGCUUCACCCAGAUCAAGUUGGUCAGAAAUCAAGAGUACCAGUUGGUUUUCAGAAUGAUUUGUCUGAUGUGGAGAGACAGAAGAGCAAGCAUGGGCCACUGCAGUAGCAAGCACCAAUUGACUACAGCUAAAUUAUUGGUCAAGCAGAUCUUCAGUUCAAUGUAAAACAGAAAAAAAUCACCCUGUAUUAUACUUGUGAUAUUUCCAAAGGAAUGUGUGGUAAAUGCCCCAAAAACUCUUCAAAACUGACAAGCAUCAAAAAUAACAAGAUGUGAUGGAAGCCACUUGGUUAGUGAACAUAAAUGUUGCAAUGAAGAAGGAAGUCUAGCCUUCUAGCUGAAAAACAACGAUUCCCCAAUGGACUCUGGAAGAAUCUGGACUGGCCACUGCAAAGACAAAAACAAGCUUAAAUGUUUUAGGACAUAAAUCUCAAAGAGAGACCCAUGAUAUGGAAUUUAAAUUGUCUAAUCAGUUUCCUAAAACCCACAGAUCUUGUUUUCUUGUUGUUUAAGACACAUUUAUUUAAUAUACAUCUUUUUAUGUCGCUUAUUUUAUCUAUCAACAACUGGCAAUUAGAAAUAAUUUUGUUCUUCAAUUAUUGAGUAAGAUUCUAUUUUUAAAAGUCUAAACUCUCAUUGAAUUUUCAUCCCUUUUUUUUUCUAGCAGUUUUUUUCCCAUUUUUUCCAGUUUCAUCAUCAUUUCUGCUACGACUCAAUAAGGAAAACUAAUUAUGUCUGACAGUCACCUAAAAUGGCCAAAUUUCUUUUCUGAUUCCUUGAGAACUGUGAAAAUGAGUUUGACUUCACAUUUUCAAUUUGUUUUAUAAAUACACUGUAAAUAAAUGUCAACUCUCAACAGCUAGCAUCAUUAUGAGUCACAGAACUUUCUGUAACCUCCUCUCUCUAUUUCUAAAAGGGAGAGUUGCUGACCAAAGAAACACCUCGGCUCUGAAAAAUUGCCUUGUAUUUUACAUACUAUAUUCUUGAUCAUGCUUCUAAUGAAUGCUUAUUAGAAUUGUAGCAAACCAUUUAGUUAACCAUAAUAUUUGAUGGGAAGAAAAAGGCAAUAUAACUGUAAUGAGCCUUAUAAAUAUAGUUGACAGAAGCCAAAGAGAUUAUUAAUGAAUUCACAAUAAAAUAGUACUUAUAGUUAUAUGCCUGUAAAAAUUAAAGGCAAACACAUUUUAUAAGUUUUCUUAUUAUGUGUUAAAUAUACAGGAAUAAUAUUACUUUGACUUUCUUAACAUGAAGAGAUUGAGAAUUUUUCUAGUUAGGUUACAUAGAGAAUAGUGGGAAGCUUUAGGUUUUGUUCGUAAGUCAGACUUUUUACAAAACUUUAAUCUUAUAAUUAAUUUAUGAGUUGGGAGAAUUUAUUUGAUGAUUUAGUACUGAAGAUUCUCUAAAGAUAGUACAUGAUGAGGUAAUAUUCAUUAUAUAAUCACAGCUGAAGAUCUUUUAUAAAAUGUUUAUAUUCUGAUUUCUUACCUUCUAUUAUCUUUUUUCUCUUUAAGUAAUAGCUAAUCUUGAUUUCAAUGCUUUAAAAUUGCUUAAUGACUUAAUUGUUAUCAUAUUAUGUAUCAAUAAUAAAAUUUUAGGAGAUUGUU